Molecule: long non-coding RNA, 260 nt
Filed under: Jaculus jaculus (lesser Egyptian jerboa)
Lineage: Eukaryota; Metazoa; Chordata; Mammalia; Rodentia; Dipodidae
Description: Nuclear RNase P (ENSJJAG00000006981.1)
Rfam family: Nuclear RNase P
About the family: Ribonuclease P (RNase P) is a ubiquitous endoribonuclease, found in archaea, bacteria and eukarya as well as chloroplasts and mitochondria.
Source: Rfam by way of RNAcentral
AGAGGAAAGCUCACCAGUGGGGCCACAAGCUGAGUGCAUCAUGCCACUCUUUCUGCUGUCCCUUGGGAAGGUGUGAGACGAGGGUCACCAAGAGCAGCACUAACAGGACUCUCCCUGAGACAGGGGUGGUGAGUUCUCAGACAAAGAAAAAAAGGUUUUUUUUCCCCCAAAAAAAAGGUUUUUGAUGAACCAAAGCCUUGUUGGUGUACUAAAACUUGGAUGUUGGACAAUUGCUUCUAAAAAAUAUCUCAAAAUCCUCU